Molecule: long non-coding RNA, 2145 nt
Organism: Homo sapiens (human)
Lineage: Eukaryota; Metazoa; Chordata; Mammalia; Primates; Hominidae
Exons: 2
Source: RefSeq, a predicted model, not a curated record
UUUGCCUCCAAAACUGCUGGGAUUACAGGCUACAUGUUCGACUUUGAUCCCAGAUCAGCAGCUCUGCUCAAUGCCAAGAGGGUGCUGGGCCCCGUGGGGACAGACGGGGGGAAGAAGUUUCGCAGGGACAGGAGGACCCAGGCAGAGACUGAAGAGGGGAAAACCCAAACAGAAAAACUUUAGGACACCCGCUGCAGCUGCAUGUGUAAACCUGAAAGUUGAAGUGAUGGGGAAGAUGUAGAAUUGCUUUGGCCUUUUCUCUGGGUCCUGCUGGUCUGUGGUCUGCCGAUGGUAACCUCUCCUCACCUUCCAGCCCAACUGGGAUGUAUCUUUCAGACGCUGCAGGGCUUGGCGGAAGAUCUGAGCCAUUUGCCUGGACGUUCUCCAUGCUAUUGUGAUCGGCCUCAUCUGUCUGAAACCUUGCUGACCCCGGCUUAUCUGGUGUUGGACCAAAUGACCCUGGAGUCUCUGCAUCUUCUUCAGGGUGACCUGUGCAUGUCUGCUAUCCCUGCCCCUGCCAGCCGUAGGCUGACCUCCACCUGACCCUCAACUGCAUGGGCCCUGAUGAGUCACAGGCUCCCUUCACAGAAGGAAGGUGGAAAAAGCUCACGUGAACGUUGCUUUCCUGUCCUUGGACUUCUGACAUCCCUCGGGCCAGCCCUCAGCAGUGAGCCAACCCGCAAGUCCUGCUCAGGAUCCAGUGGGAAGGCAGCUGUCCUCUUGGAUGAUCCUGGCACCAUAUUGGAAGGAGUCCAUCUGUGGAGGCCAUCAGAGAUUUGAUCACCUCAGCUGUUGUUCAGCUCCUCCGGGGACUGGGGGAAUUUUCGUGCCAUUGGUGUUGACAAUGACAUAAUCCUAGCUCUAAGUCGUCUAAGUGUGUUUCUCCACAGAUACACAUCAAGUACUAGGUGGUGCCAUUCUGUCCCACACAACUGUACAAUAAGUCUUCUCAAAGGCUGAGAAGACUCACCAUACAGAGCUUCAUUCCUUGAAACCCUAAGCUGGAACCCUGAAACCUUAUUUUUUCUUUCAGCUACCAUAAGGCUGAAAUUAACCAUAGCCUUCCCAAGGAUUGGUUUCUUCUCAAAGAGUUUUAACUUAUAAAUAGGACCAAAGAUUUUAAAAAUACAAAUGUUUGUCAUUAAAUGAAGUCAUGCAAGUGAAAGUGCCUAGAAUAGUACUUGGCUCAUAGCUGGUACAUGGGAAAGUCUUGUUUUCCACCUCCAUGUACUCCAGACGCAGCUUAGAAAAUCAGGUAACUUGGCCGGGCUCGGUGGCUCAUGCCUAUAAUCCCAGCACUUUGGGAGGCUGAGGCAGGCGGAUCACGAGGUCAGGAGUUUGAGACCAGCCUGGUCAACAUAGCGAAACCCCAUCUCUAUCAAAAAACAAAAAAUUAGCUGGGCGUGGUGGCGGGCACCUGUAAUCCCAGCUACUUGGGAGGCUGAGGUGGGAGGAUCGCUUGAUCCUGGGAGGCAAAGGUUGGAGUAACCUAUGAUCACACCACUGCACUCCAGCCUAGGUGACAGAGUGAGACCCUGUCUCAAAAAAAAAAGGCAGAGCUGAAUAAGACCGUUACUGUCACAGGGCUUUCUUCAAUAAAUGCUAGUCACUAUUUUGUUUGUUUGUUUGUUUGUUUGUUUUUGAGACGGAGUCUGGCUCUGUGACCCAGGCUGGAGUGUAGUGGCAUGAUCUCAGCUCACUGCAACCUCCACCUCCCAGGUUCAAGUGAUUCUCCUGCCUCAGCCUCCUGAGUAGCUGGGAUUACAGGUGCCCACCACCACACCUGGCUAAUUUCUGUAUUUUUAGUAGAGACAAGGUUUCGCUAUGUUGGCCAGGCUGGUCUUGAAAUCCUAACCUGAAGUGAUCCUCCUGCCUCGGCCUCCCAAAGUGCUGGGAUUUCAGGUGUGGGCCACUGUUCCGGCACUUUUUUUUUUUUUUUUUUUUUUUUUGAGGCAGGGUCUCGCUCUGCCACCCAGUGGCAGUGACUGGAGGGCAGUGACUGGACAUGGCUCACUACUACAGUCUCUAUCUCCUGGGCUCAAGCAAUCCUCCUGCCUCAGCCUCCCAAGUAGCUGGGACCACAGGCAUGUACCACCACGCCCAGCUAAGCCACUAUUAUUAAUAAAUGUUUGCCUUAGAACAAAA